This 529-nucleotide ribosomal RNA is filed under the name uncultured bacterium. Its description in RNAcentral is "bacterial SSU rRNA". It matches the Rfam family "Bacterial small subunit ribosomal RNA", at positions 777 to 1304 of the family's 1533-position model. The record is from RNAcentral.
AAUAGAUACCCUGGUAGUCCACGCCGUAAACGAUGAGUGCUAAGUGUUAGAGGGUUUCCGCCCUUUAGUGCUGCAGCUAACGCAUUAAGCACUCCGCCUGGGGAGUACGGUCGCAAGACUGAAACUCAAAGGAAUUGACGGGGGCCCGCACAAGCGGUGGAGCAUGUGGUUUAAUUCGAAGCAACGCGAAGAACCUUACCAGGUCUUGACAUCCUCUGACAACUCUAGAGAUAGAGCGUUCCCCUUCGGGGGACAGAGUGACAGGUGGUGCAUGGUUGUCGUCAGCUCGUGUCGUGAGAUGUUGGGUUAAGUCCCGCAACGAGCGCAACCCUUGAUCUUAGUUGCCAGCAUUUAGUUGGGCACUCUAAGGUGACUGCCGGUGACAAACCGGAGGAAGGUGGGGAUGACGUCAAAUCAUCAUGCCCCUUAUGACCUGGGCUACACACGUGCUACAAUGGAUGGUACAAAGGGCUGCAAGACCGCGAGGUCAAGCCAAUCCCAUAAAACCAUUCUCAGUUCGGAUUGUAGG